UGGACCCGGACCCGCGCUGAGCGGAAGGGAAAGCGCCCCCGGGGCUCGGAGCCGAGGCGUCCGCCCCGCGGCCGUGGUGAGGGAGCGGAGCCCGGCGGUGCGCCUGCCGCCCCGGCGAGCCCCGUGCCUCCGUUCGGCCCGGAGUCUCCCGGCUCUUAGAUGCUCCGCGCAAGAGGCCGAAUGCGAACCAUCAAAGGGGGGGGGGGGGGGGGGCGAUGGUGUGCUGGCACGGGCUUGUCCGGAGUCGCUGGAGCCCCUGGUUGCAUUUUCAGAAGUUUGCAAGCUGAUGGUCAGAUGUUCACGAUCUUCAAAAGUCAUUCUUAAAAACUGAAUUCUGUAAACUUACCGUUAAAUAGAUCACAUUAAAAAAAAAAGUUUUAAGGUUCAUUUAUUUCUGAGACAGCGCAAGCGGGAGGGGGGCAGAGAGAGAGGGAGACACGGAAUCCAAGGCAGGCUCCAGGCUCUGAGCUGUCAGCGCAGAGCCCGACGCGGGGCUCGAACCCACAAACUGAGAUCAUGACCUGAGCUGAAGGCAGGCGCUUAACCCACUGAGUCGCUCAGGCGCCCCGAAAUAGAUCGCAUUAAAAACAAAGGUAGCAAAUAAAAAUGUAUCCCUUACUAAUAAUUUUGUUACUUUUUACUAUUAUCCAUAUACUUGAGAUUUCUGUGUCUGUCACGUCGGGGCGAUGUGCUUGGUACAUUUACUCCCAACUCCACAUUCAACGACCUCAGCCCGGGAAGGUUAAGGCACAGGCGAGUCAGGGAACAAAGGAAGAAAGGGGGAGGUGGGGAGGGCUGUUGUAAACUAAAAGGCCCUUGGAGCAUUCUAACUAUGGAAUCUUCUCAUUGGCUAGGCUGUGACAGACCCUCCAAGGCCGGGCUGUGACAUGCUCUCAUUGGCUGGGCUGUUGCCAGGGGAGGAGAGAACCUUCGUGGUAGGGGAGUAAAUUAGCAUCCACCUGCGAGGUCCUCCGCGGUCCGCGUGCAAGGCCUUGAAUGCCAACAAUCGAGCCUCCGUGGUGAACGUCAGCCAGGAAAGGAUUUUGAAUUGGGGUGACAUAAUCCAAAUUUUGCUUUCAGAUGAAAAUCAGGCCCGUACGAAGGACAACUUGAGGACAGGAAUGAACAGAAACCAGGAGACCAGCCUGUUCACUCAGGACUUUGUUCAGCACCCACGGUGUCCGACCUGAAGAGGGAUGGGGUAGCAGAUGCGUGUGAGCCACAACGCAUGGCCCCAGGGAGUUCAAUCUAAUGGGGCGAGAGAUAGUAAACAGACAAUCACUGUGAGUGUGAUAAGUGCAUUGAAAAGGGCAGAUCCAAGGGCCAAAGGGUGAGUCAUUCUUUCUGGAGGGGGCGAGGCAGCUGUAACCCAGCCAGGACUAGUGGGGCUCGUAGGCAGAGGGAAGUUGUCAAAAGAAGGAAGAGGGUGGGGCUCCCGGGCUGACAAACCGCCCAGGCAAAGGCCCGCGUUGGUAGAGGGCCCGGGAGACCGGGCUAGAACAGAAAGCUAAGGAGGCGGCCGAGGGAGGUCGCUCGGAAGGCUGAACAGGAACGGUCAGCGGUGGGGUCAGGGCGUGUUCUGUAUGAUUCUCCGGUCACGAGCUCCGCGUCCGCGUGACGCUCAGCUUUUCAUCUGUAUCUCCACCUUCCUUCCGGGAUGCAGCCAGAAAGGAAGACUGAUUCCACUGUAUGGCUGACGGCUCCUGACUCCACACCUGGUCCCCGCUGCUCUCAUGCCCGAAACUCUCUUCAAACACACAUAGGCUCUCUUUCUCUCUCUCUCUUACCCAGGGUUAUUAUCUAGCUGAAUGUAUGACUCAGAAUCGUUCCCCCGAGAUUCUUCUUUGUAAGCAAACUAUAGGACAAAUUCAAAAAAAAUAAAACUGCCUUUGAAUAGCUUUUA
Panthera uncia (snow leopard) is the source of this 1903-nucleotide long non-coding RNA. RefSeq lists it as uncharacterized. NCBI's taxonomy places the organism in Eukaryota, Metazoa, Chordata, Mammalia, Carnivora, Felidae. The record is from RefSeq and is a predicted model, not a curated record. The transcript has 2 exons.